Molecule: non-coding RNA, 32 nt
Filed under: Homo sapiens (human)
Lineage: Eukaryota; Metazoa; Chordata; Mammalia; Primates; Hominidae
Source: RNAcentral
UGCAGGGCUGGGCCCCACUGAUGGUCCUGGGU